RNAcentral lists this ribosomal RNA (221 nucleotides) under uncultured bacterium. RNAcentral's name for it is "partial 16S ribosomal RNA". It matches the Rfam family "Bacterial small subunit ribosomal RNA", at positions 113 to 334 of the family's 1533-position model. The record is from RNAcentral.
CAACGUAUGUAACCUACCUUUAUCAGGGGGAUAGCCUCUCGAAAGAGAGAUUAAGCCCGCAUAAAAUGAAGACACAGCAUUGUGAUUUCAUCAAAUAUUUAUAGGAUAAAGAUGGGCAUGCGGAACAUUAGCUAGUUGGUAAGGUAAUGGCUUACCAAGGCUACGAUGUUUAGGGGAUCUGAGAGGAUGGCCCCCCACACUGGUACUGAGACACGGACCAG